Molecule: long non-coding RNA, 3053 nt
Organism: Siniperca chuatsi (mandarin fish)
Lineage: Eukaryota; Metazoa; Chordata; Actinopteri; Centrarchiformes; Sinipercidae
Exons: 3
Source: RefSeq, a predicted model, not a curated record
UGGAUUCUGCACUAUCAGCAAUAAUCAUUUGCAGAAGUUUGUUUUAACAUGUUUGGAAUGCCAGAUGGGUGGGGUUUCAGGACAUCAGGAGAACACAGAUAGUGUCAGUGGAAUCAUUGGACAUUCUGGUCAAAGGUGCGCUCACCUUUGCUCAUGCAGUGAAACGCCGGAGGAGAGGGAAACGUGCCGGUGCACUUCGCACACCGUUACCGGGAAUAUUUCUCUCCAGCAUGCGUUCACUGUGCAAUAAACUGGAUAAACUUCAGCUACUGAUGAGGAAAAACGUAAGAUGUAGCUGUGUGGAUCGAUACCGGACUCUCGACACAGAACUUUCCAGCAAAACAAAAGGUAGAGGUAUCUGUUUUUACAUCAGCAGUGGCUGGUGUAACGAUGUGACAGUGACUCAACAGCUCUGUUCUUCUGAUAUGGAAUAUACCCCAGAAGCACCCCCCUCCCCUACUGCAACAAUGACUCUCUCCACCCUGGAGAGGGAUGUCAACAGACUGUUCAGUCUAGGAAGGAUACUACCAUUGUUGGCGCCAAAGAUAGACUUUUUUGGAAGCUACAUAUAGUGGCUUUAAAAAGUGACUAUUUAGAAUAUGUUGAUGUUUGAAUGCAUGUAAGAGCUAUAACAGACAUAUGAACAUGUUAUUGUUGAUCCAUGAAUUCACUUACAGUUGCAUAUUCCUUUUCAUCACUGCGCUGAAAACAUCUGUCCUUCAGUCAGUCAACAGUGCAAGAUGCUCUGUGCUCAACAAUAUCCAGACGUGCAGAAAACCCAACCCUGCCCUCUCUGAACAAGAUACUCAGUAAGAGUAAAAAAUAAAUACUGUGUGAUUUAUCAAAUGGUGAACAAAGGCAGCGGAGGAUUAGCUAGAAAUGUAAUGAAAAAUUUAAAAAAAAACCUUGAGCAAUGUUCAGUGUGAAGUACAGGUGCCAAAGAUGUCUAGGCGCACUCAAACGUUUUCAACUCUCCUCACCAUCCCAUUCGGGUGGAGGAGACCUCGACCUGAACAGAAACAUGAGGGCGCAGAGAGGGAAAGAAAACAAGACAGGCACAGAUUGAGAGCAAGAGCGGAAGUUUGUCAGCUGCUACAUACAUCCCCAGACAACAGGCAGCAGUGUAAACAGAGGAAGCAAACAGGGGGAAUAUAAGCAUACUUCAUCUGUUCAGUACACUGUAUGUAAUCAAAUGAUAUGGUAAUUACCACCACCAAAAAGUCAGAAACGGAAGAGUCAUAAAAAGACAUGAAAAUAGAGAAUAACUGAACUCCCAUCCUCGGCCUCCAUGCCCUUACAUACAGAGGCUGCCGGUCAUUGGGAGGGAACUCUCCACCUCGACACAAAGAACACAAGCCCAGAGAGGAACACCACCUCCCCUCUUCUCCACACAUUCGAAGAGGCCAACCUAAACAUGCCACUGCAAACAACUGCCUAUUUACACAUCCAGCAGACACAGAGCAACAUUAGCAUUCAUAUGUGGCUUUUUUUUUUAUGUAUUUGUUAUUAACUUUUAUGUGCGUUUAUUUGGUAUUUUUUCUGUUCAGCACUUUGGUCAACGGUGGUUGUCUUAAAUGUGCUAUAUAAAUCAAUUUGACAUUGACAUUGAUAUUAACAUGUCUCUGGCAAUCUGACAAAACCAAGUUCACUCUUCACUCUGUUUUGGUCUCCACCAACUCUUGAGGAGCUCUUAGCUGCUAAAUGCCCCACUGUGUUACUACUAGCUAGACGCUAAUUAAUUUGCUGUGGGUUCGUCACUAUGAGCGACCCCUACCAUAUUACACUUUUGAUCCAUUGUUAACAUUAAAAUAUUGAUUGGUGCUUCAGGUAUCUCUUAAGGAAGUUUUAUCCCCACCAAAUAGACGUUUAAACUCCCAUUUGUCUGUUUGUGAGCGAGGUAUCUCGAUAACUUGUUAACAGAAAUUUGGUGCAAAGAAAUUUGGUGUGAACUUCUUUAAAGGAUUUCUAACAUUGCAUAUUUUUAAACAUUUUUCCAAUUUAGUCAUGAACUACUGCACAUAACAUGGCAUACGUAUCCUACUAUUGUCUUUUUUUAUGCAGAUCCAGAUCUAAAAAAAAAAAAAAAAUCGAAAUAUUUUGUACCAUUAAAUUAACAAAUCAUGCAGCCUUGUCAGGUAUAUGCUCUCUAGUUGCUUUUUAGUAAUAAAAAAGCUAAUGUUUAUUUUGGCAACCAGUUUGGUUUUACAAGCCCCUGUAUCUUGCUUUGAGAUUAACUAGCCUGCAGCAUUGUAUUCAGCAGGGAUGGUUUUCAAAACUGUUUCAACUGUCAUCUCUUUCUCUAGAAUAUUUUUUAGGUUUUCUAUUCACAUCUUCCUAUGAACGUCCUUUUCUUGGGCCCGCUAUCUUACAUUAAUUCUCAAGUUUCCUCUGACAAGUCUUCACACUUCUCUAUCCUUCUGUCUGUCUGUCUCUCUGAUUCCCUGAAUGUGUCCCAGUCAACUCACAGUCACACUGGUAAGUUUUCUGAGCCAGGGAAAUGUCCCACAAAUGGGUAAACUGUGCUCAUUCAUCCUAAAUUUAGCCCACUCUCCUGAUCCCUUCGCCAUGGCUGUGGGAAACACUGCAUACUUUCCCCCCUCUGCUCCCAGUCCAGUGAGGACCUGGCCUGGGCCAUCCUGUCAAGUGCCUGAUUGUUACUCACAAGAACAGGUCCUGUGUUUGGCAUGUAGGUGUCCUUCCUCUGCCUCUCAUCAGGGGCUAAAAACUAUGUUUCCUGCUCUUCUCUCGCUCGCACACACACCCAUAAAUUAAAUAAAACAGCUCUUUAUCCUCGACCUGAAACAAUGGGCUCCCUCAUUCAGUUGAGUUACAGUACGUUUACAGAACACCUCAAGGGCAAAUAGGCUGAGCUAGUGGCCUGGCUAUUCAGCAAUUUAUCCUCGAGGAUGGCAUACCGAUAAUGCCUUGUGGUCUAGACAUAUGUUUCCAUCAAACAGCCCACUUAGAGGUUAGAGAUUCCCAAUUCAGUGACCUUCUUUUCAAGUGCUUUGACCAAAGCUUCUGUAUAAUUUUCUGCACUGAACAUAACAUGU